RNAcentral lists this ribosomal RNA (468 nucleotides) under uncultured bacterium. Its description in RNAcentral is "partial 16S ribosomal RNA". It matches the Rfam family "Bacterial small subunit ribosomal RNA", at positions 28 to 507 of the family's 1533-position model. The record is from RNAcentral.
GACGAACGCUGGCGGCGCGCUUAACACGUGCAAGUCGAACGGAAAGGCCCUGCUUUUGUGGGGUGCUCGAGUGGCGAACGGGUGAGUAACACGUGAGUAACCUGCCCUUGACUUUGGGAUAACUUCAGGAAACUGGGGCUAAUACCGGAUAGGAGCUCCUGCUGCAUGGUGGGGGUUGGAAAGUUUCGGCGGUUGGGGAUGGACUCGCGGCUUAUCAGCUUGUUGGUGGGGUAGUGGCUUACCAAGGCUUUGACGGGUAGCCGGCCUGAGAGGGUGACCGGCCACAUUGGGACUGAGAUACGGCCCAGACUCCUACGGGAGGCAGCAGUGGGGAAUAUUGCACAAUGGGCGGAAGCCUGAUGCAGCAACGCCGCGUGCGGGAUGACGGCCUUCGGGUUGUAAACCGCUUUCGCCUGUGACGAAGCGUGAGUGACGGUAAUGGGUAAAGAAGCACCGGCUAACUACGUG